Molecule: ribosomal RNA, 1398 nt
Filed under: uncultured bacterium
Lineage: Bacteria
Description: 16S ribosomal RNA
Rfam family: Bacterial small subunit ribosomal RNA
Source: RNAcentral
AGAGUUUGAUCCUGGCUCAGGAUGAACGCUAGCUACAGGCUUAACACAUGCAAGUCGAGGGGCAGCAUGGUCUUAGCUUGCUAAGGCCGAUGGCGACCGGCGCACGGGUGAGUAACACGUAUCCAACCUGCCGUCUACUCUUGGACAGCCUUCUGAAAGGAAGAUUAAUACAAGAUGGCAUCAUGAGUCCACAUGUUCACAUGAUUAAAGGUAUUCCGGUAGACGAUGGGGAUGCGUUCCAUUAGGUAGUAGGCGGGGUAACGGCCCACCUAGUCUUCGAUGGAUAGGGGUUCUGAGAGGAAGGUCCCCCACAUUGGAACUGAGACACGGUCCAAACUCCUACGGGAGGCAGCAGUGAGGAAUAUUGGUCAAUGGGCGAGAGCCUGAACCAGCCAAGUAGCGUGAAGGAUGACUGCCCUAUGGGUUGUAAACUUCUUUUAUAAAGGAAUAAAGUCGGGUAUGCAUACCCGUUUGCAUGUACUUUAUGAAUAAGGAUCGGCUAACUCCGUGCCAGCAGCCGCGGUAAUACGGAGGAUCCGAGCGUUAUCCGGAUUUAUUGGGUUUAAAGGGAGCGUAGAUGGAUGUUUAAGUCAGUUGUGAAAGAUUGCGGCUCAACCGUAAAAUUGCAGUUGAUACUGGAUAUCUUGAGUGCAGUUGAGGCAGGCGGAAUUCGUGGUGUAGCGGUGAGAUGCUUAGAUAUCACGAAGAACUCCGAUUGCGAAGGCAGCCUGCUAAGCUGCAACUGACAUUGAGGCUCGAAAGUGUGGGUAUCAAACAGGAUUAGAUACCCUGGUAGUCCACACGGUAAACGAUGAAUACUCGCUGUUUGCGAUAUACUGCAAGCGGCCAAGCGAAAGCGUUAAGUAUUCCACCUGGGGAGUACGCCGGCAACGGUGAAACUCAAAGGAAUUGACGGGGGCCCGCACAAGCGGAGGAACAUGUGGUUUAAUUCGAUGAUACGCGAGGAACCUUACCCGGGCUCAAACGACAGGGGAAUAAUCCCGAAAAGGAUUAGCCAGCAAUGGCCGCUGUCGAGGUGCUGCAUGGUUGUCGUCAGCUCGUGCCGUGAGGUGUCGGCUUAAGUGCCAUAACGAGCGCAACCCUUACCGGUAGUUACUAACAGGUCAAGCUGAGGACUCUACCGGGACUGCCAGCGCAAGCUGUGAGGAAGGUGGGGAUGACGUCAAAUCAGCACGGCCCUUACGUCCGGGGCGACACACGUGUUACAAUGGCAGGUACAGAGAGUCGCGUCGUAGCAAUACGUAGCCAAUCCCGAAAACCUGUCUCAGUUCGGAUCGGAGUCUGCAACUCGACUCCGUGAAGCUGGAUUCGCUAGUAAUCGCGCAUCAGCCAUGGCGCGGUGAAUACGUUCCCGGGCCUUGUACACACCGCCCGUCA